This 302-nucleotide unclassified non-coding RNA is filed under the name Hevea brasiliensis (rubber tree). Lineage: Eukaryota; Viridiplantae; Streptophyta; Magnoliopsida; Malpighiales; Euphorbiaceae. The record is from RNAcentral.
AAAAAAAAAAAAACGAUAUUUCAUCCUCAACAAAGAGUUGGCUGUUAUAAAUGGACAUUUAACAAGAAACAGAGAAAGACAAAAUGACAGGAUUAGAGGCAUAAUGAUUUCUUUAAACGACAAUUCGUAAUUUCAUAAUGGUCGGUCGUUUGGAGCAAGAAUGGAACACUCAGCCAACAACGCACAUGGACUUCUUUUUGAGCAAAGACCUGUUGUUCUAAUAAAAGGCAUCUAAUUUUGUAAACGACAAACACCUAUUCUUGAUUUUUAAACAACUAGGCUUUUGCUAGCGCGUAUAAUCA